AGCACAGUAAGAGCUUCCUCUUACGGGUGGCGAGUGGCGGACGGGUGAGGAAUACAUCGGAAUCUACUCUUUCGUGGGGGAUAACGUAGGGAAACUUACGCUAAUACCGCAUACGCCCUUCGGGGGAAAGCAGGGGAUCGCAAGACCUUGCGCGAUUGAAUGAGCCGAUGUCGGAUUAGCUAGUUGGCGGGGUAACGGCCCACCAAGGCGACGAUCCGUAGCUGGUCUGAGAGGAUGAUCAGCCACACUGGAACUGAGACACGGUCCAGACUCGGACGGGAGGCAGCAGUGGGGAAUAUUGGACAAUGGGCGCAAGCCUGAUCCAGCCAUACCGCGUGGGUGAAGAAGGCCUUCGGGUUGUAAAGCCCUUUUGUUGGGAAAGAAAAGCAUCCGGUUAAUACCCGGGUGUUCUGACGGUACCCAAAGAAUAAGCACCGGCUAACUUCGUGCCAGCAGCCGCGGUAAUACGAAGGGUGCAAGCGUUACUCGGAAUUACUGGGCGUAAAGCGUGCGUAGGUGGUGAUUUAAGUCCGUUGUGAAAGCCCUGGGCUCAACCUGGGAAUUGCAGUGGAUACUGGGUCACUAGAGUGUGGUAGAGGAUAGUGGAA
Molecule: ribosomal RNA, 608 nt
Filed under: bacterium LFBA6B
Lineage: Bacteria
Description: bacterial SSU rRNA
Rfam family: Bacterial small subunit ribosomal RNA
Source: RNAcentral